UCUGAAGAGGAAAGCCCCGCGAUCAUCCGGUUUCACCCCUGUUUUCAUCUACUCUUUUCCUCAGCGAAGCCUAUAUGGGUUCCCGAUGUCACAUCGCAGCUACCGCAUUGGAGGGUUAAGAGCCGCUGACAAAUCUCUUUCGGGAAGGGAAGAAGAGUUCCAAACAAAAGAUCUACUACCCUGAGAAGCGGUGAAGUGCUCCUGGGGCCCACCAAGGCCACACAAGUCAAGGAGUGGAUGGCCUUGCCCCAGCUAUGGCUCAGAUCACCUUUGCAGGAUGACAUCUUGUUGGGAGAUGGUCAUCAGAGACAGGGCCAUGGAAGACGCUGUCAGGAGGAGGCACAGAGGAAAGGCUAUGGGAGCACAAAGCAAGAAAGUGGCCUUCUGCAAGCCAGGAAGAGAGGCCUCCCCAGAAACCAACUCUACCAGCACAUUGAUCUUGGACUUUUGGCCUCUAGAACAUUGAGAAAAUAAAAGUCUGCUGUUAAACCACC
Homo sapiens (human) is the source of this 494-nucleotide long non-coding RNA. Lineage: Eukaryota; Metazoa; Chordata; Mammalia; Primates; Hominidae. The record is from Ensembl.